Molecule: transfer RNA, 85 nt
Filed under: bacterium
Lineage: Bacteria
Description: tRNA-Ser
Rfam family: tRNA
About the family: Transfer RNA (tRNA) molecules are approximately 80 nucleotides in length.
Source: RNAcentral
GGAGGGUGGGCGGGACGGUAACGCGUUGGUUUCGAAAACCAAUUCCCGUAAGGGAUAGCAGGUUCGACUCCUGUGCCCUCCGCCA